ACCAAAUUAUUACAAUUUAAAGCAUGCUGGUGCAAUGUUCGGGUGGCUAAGCUUAUUCAGAUUUCAUUUCUGGUCUUUUUAACUGUACGCUUCUAAGAAUUUACGAUUGAUAUUGCUAUUAUUGUAUAUAUAUAUAUAUACUAGAACACACCCGUGAUAUCGCGGGUCCGUGACUGAAUUAAAGUAUAUAACUAUGCGCAAGCCUUAUUUUAGUAUUAGUAUUGUGAUCUGAUAAAGUCAUGCCUAAGAUACACUGCUUUCAAAUCUUUCUGUUUGAACCCGUCGAACUGGAACUUAUCAAUUAUUGGUAAUAUUAAUUAUUUGGAAAACAAAAGGUCCUGGAAUGGAGUAUUUCUUAAUCAACAGCAUUGUCCUAUAUU
RNAcentral lists this long non-coding RNA (380 nucleotides) under Mytilus galloprovincialis (Mediterranean mussel). The record is from RNAcentral. Lineage: Eukaryota; Metazoa; Mollusca; Bivalvia; Mytilida; Mytilidae.